This is a non-coding RNA of Brugia malayi, 135 nucleotides long. The record is from RefSeq and is a predicted model, not a curated record. NCBI's taxonomy places the organism in Eukaryota, Metazoa, Nematoda, Chromadorea, Rhabditida, Onchocercidae.
UACCUACGUGAAGUAUUCUGAAUGCUGUAAUUGUUUUAUUUAAAUUAUGGGAGUAAUGGCCUGGAUUUUGUCCAAAGCGUUGUAAUACAGCUUUGGCACCAUUCAGACCACUACACCUAAUUUCACCUUUAUACC